This 492-nucleotide ribosomal RNA is filed under the name uncultured bacterium. RNAcentral describes it as "partial 16S ribosomal RNA". It matches the Rfam family "Bacterial small subunit ribosomal RNA", at positions 29 to 507 of the family's 1533-position model. The record is from RNAcentral.
AGUGAACGCUGGCGGUAGGCCUAACACAUGCAAGUCGAACGGCAGCACAGUAAGAGCUUGCUCUUACGGGUGGCGAGUGGCGGACGGGUGAGGAAUACAUCGGAAUCUACUUUUUCGUGGGGGAUAACGUAGGGAAACUUACGCUAAUACCGCAUACGACCUACGGGUGAAAGCAGGGGAUCUUCGGACCUUGCGCGAUUGAAUGAGCCGAUGUCGGAUUAGCUAGUUGGCGGGGUAAAGGCCCACCAAGGCGACGAUCCGUAGCUGGUCUGAGAGGAUGAUCAGCCACACUGGAACUGAGACACGGUCAAGACUCCUACGGGAGGCAGCAGUGGGGAAUAUUGGACAAUGGGCGCAAGCAUGAUCCAGCCAUACCGCGUGGGUGAAGAAGGCCUUCGGGUUGUAAAGCCCUUUUGUUGGGAAAGAAAAGCAGCAGGUUAAUACGCCGCUGUUCUGACGGUACCCAAAGAAUAAGCACCGGCUAACUUCGUG